GAACGCUAGCGGCAGGCUUAACACAUGCAAGUCGAGGGCAGCAUAAACAUUGCUUGCAAUGUUUGAUGGCGACCGGCGCAAGGGUGCGUAACGCGUGAGCAACAUGCCCGUAACAGGGGAUAAUCCAGGGAAACUUGGUCUAAUACCGCAUAAUAUCAAUUAGAGGCAUCUUUGAUUGAUUAAAAUUUCGAUGGUUACGGAUUGGCUCGCGUGACAUUAGCUAGAUGGAGAGGUAACGGCUCACCAUGGCGACGAUGUCUAGGGGAACUGAGAGGUUUAUCCCCCACACUGGUACUGAGACACGGACCAGACUCCUACGGGAGGCAGCAGUGAGGAAUAUUGGUCAAUGGAGGCAACUCUGAACCAGCCAAGUAGCGUGCAGGACGACGGCCCUAUGGGUUGUAAACUGCUUUUAUGCGGGGAUAAAUGAUCCUACGUGUAGGAUUUUGCAGGUACCGCAUGAAUAAGGACCGGCUAAUUCCGUG
RNAcentral lists this ribosomal RNA (485 nucleotides) under uncultured bacterium. RNAcentral's name for it is "bacterial SSU rRNA". It matches the Rfam family "Bacterial small subunit ribosomal RNA", at positions 31 to 507 of the family's 1533-position model. The record is from RNAcentral.